AGAUAAAAAAAAUCAUUUGGUCUUCUCAGAGUGCAUGACAUUAUUACAGAUUAGAUUUCACAGUUUAUUUGCUUUCAUGGAAGGGAUCCAUCUUGGAUUGUUAACGGUCCCUAAUUGUGAGAGGUCCAGGCAAAGAAGGAGAGCUCUUGUGACUUAUUUUAGGCCUGCUCAUUUCCAUAGCCUUUGGUUGGUUGUGGAGGAAGACUUUUGAUUAAUUCCAUUUGUUUUUAUUACUUUUAAGUUGCUAAGCCUUACUUUGAAAAAGCUCAUGGUUUUCUAUUUUCUCCGCUGCUUCUUCCCUCUCCGCCUUCAAGGAGUUUGACCCGGAAGAAUUUUAUCACCUCCUGGAGGCUGCCGAAGGUCAUGCGAAAGUUGGACAAGGCAUCAAAACAGACAUUCCACGUUACAUUAUCAGUCAACUGGGACUCACCAAAGACCCUCUGGAGGAAAUUGUUCAGUUUGAUCAAGUUGACUGCCCUUCCCCAGCGGGCCCAGAGCAGCAAGAUGAACUUCCUGAGAACCAGACUUCUACCCCCAUUCCACGGAGGAAGCCCUGUGAAAGCGAUUUUGAAACUAUCAAGUUGAUCAGCAACGGGGCUUAUGGGGCUGUGUAUCUGGUGCGGCACAAGGAGACUCGCCAACGGUUUGCCAUCAAAAAGAUUAACAAGCAGAACUUGGUGUUACGGAACCAGAUCCAGCAAGUCUUUGUGGAGCGCGACAUCUUGACCUUUGCGGAGAACCCUUUUGUGGUCAGCAUGUUCUGCUCCUUCGAAACCAGGUGUCAUCUCUGCAUGGUCAUGGAGUAUGUGGAAGGUGAGGUUGCAGAAGGACGUAUCUUUUUUUUUUUAAUGUAGAAAUCUAGAUUAUAGAU
This is a non-coding RNA of Thamnophis sirtalis, 871 nucleotides long. The record is from RefSeq and is a predicted model, not a curated record. NCBI's taxonomy places the organism in Eukaryota, Metazoa, Chordata, Lepidosauria, Squamata, Natricidae.